GACGAACGCUGGCGGCGUGCUUAACACAUGCAAGUCGAACGGGAUUUAGUAAACAGAAGCCUCGGUGGAAGAUUACUAAUGAGAGUGGCGAACGGGUGAGUAACGCGUGAGCAACCUGCCUAUGACAGUGGGAUAGCCUCGGGAAACCGGGAUUAAUACCGCAUAAAAUCGUAGAAACACAUGUUUUAACGGUCAAAGAUUUAUCGGUCAUAGAUGGGCUCGCGUCUGAUUAGCUAGUUGGUGAGAUAACAGCCCACCAAGGCGACGAUCAGUAGCCGGUCUGAGAGGAUGAACGGCCACAUUGGAACUGAGACACGGUCCAAACUCCUACGGGAGGCAGCAGUGGGGAAUAUUGCACAAUGGGGGAAACCCUGAUGCAGCGACGCCGCGUGAACGAAGAAGGUAUUCGUAUCGUAAAGUUCUGUCCUAUGGGAAGAUAAUGACAGUACCAGAGAAGAAAGCGCCGGCUAAAUACGUG
This 478-nucleotide ribosomal RNA is filed under the name uncultured bacterium. Its description in RNAcentral is "partial 16S ribosomal RNA". It matches the Rfam family "Bacterial small subunit ribosomal RNA", at positions 28 to 507 of the family's 1533-position model. The record is from RNAcentral.